Pelobates cultripes (western spadefoot toad) is the source of this 591-nucleotide non-coding RNA. The record is from the annotation of a GenBank genome assembly. Lineage: Eukaryota; Metazoa; Chordata; Amphibia; Anura; Pelobatidae.
UACAGUGCAAGGGUUUAUCCAGUAAACUGUGAACGAUUGUGAUUUGAAAACCUGAUUUGCCAAAACAUACACUUGUAAAUAUCAAAUCUCCAACUUGGAUACUAUAGCCUUUUCAAUUCAGCUUUCAACUCAUCACCGUUCACUGCGUGUUCAAUUAACCCAUAUUUUCAUAUUAUAGUCAUUUACUUACUGUUAUCUAAUCAUGUGAUAGAUGGAUUCUUGCCUUCUGUUUGAAAACCAGUAUACAAAUCAGGCACUCAAAGGGUGUUUAAGGUACUUUUACUCUUGUCAUCCUUGCUCUCACAAGCAAGGCUCGAAAAAGGCUUGUGGGAGCCAAAACGUCACCCAGGUUGUAUAAAAUAUAAGGUACCUUAAGCACCCUCUGACUGCCUGGUCCAUCUCUAUAUCUGUGAUUUAGAAGAUGUAUUCUGGACUGUUUUGGCACCAGGUGAGUGCGAUUUGUGGCAAUCAUCCCUGUCUAUUCCGCUCAAUCUCAUUGUAUUGCUUUUCCUCUGAAGUCUGUGUGUGAAUGGUAAAUCAUGUUUACAAUGUUUUAAUUAUAGAUAUAAUACGUUUAGUAGGAGUUCAACA